CGAAAGCCUGACGGAGCAAGACCGCGUGGGGGAAGAAGGCUCUUGGGUUGUAAACCCCUUUUCUCUGGGAAGAAAGUUGUGAAAGCAACCUGACGGUACCAGAGGAAUCAGCAUCGGCUAACUCCGUGCCAGCAGCCGCGGUAAGACGGAGGAUGCAAGCGUUAUCCGGAAUGAUUGGGCGUAAAGCGUCCGCAGGUGGCAGUUCAAGUCUGCUGUCAAAGACCGGGGCUUAACUUCGGAAAGGCAGUGGAAACUGAACAGCUAGAGUAUGGUAGGGGCAGAGGGAAUUCCUGGUGUAGCGGUGAAAUGCGUAGAGAUCAGGAAGAACAUCGGUGGCGAAGGCGCU
RNAcentral lists this ribosomal RNA (346 nucleotides) under uncultured cyanobacterium. RNAcentral describes it as "bacterial SSU rRNA". It matches the Rfam family "Bacterial small subunit ribosomal RNA", at positions 376 to 725 of the family's 1533-position model. Lineage: Bacteria; Bacillati; Cyanobacteriota. The record is from RNAcentral.